GACGAACGCUGGCGGCGUGCCUAAUACAUGCAAGUCGAACGCUUCUUUCCUCCCGAGUGCUUGCACUCAAUUGGAAAGAGGAGUGGCGGACGGGUGAGUAACACGUGGGUAACCUACCCAUCAGAGGAGGAUAACACUUGGAAACAGGUGCUAAUACCGCAUAACAGUUUAUGCCGCAUGGCAUAAGAGUGAAAGGCGCUUUCGGGUGUCGCUGACGGAUGGACCCGCGGUGCAUUAGCUAGUUGGUGAGGUAACGGCUCACCAAGGCCACGAUGCAUAGCCGACCUGAGAGGGUGAUCGGCCACACUGGGACUGAGACACGGCCCAGACUCCUACGGGAGGCAGCAGUAGGGAAUCUUCGGCAAUGGACGAAAGUCUGACCGAGCAACGCCGCGUGAGUGAAGAAGGUUUUCGGAUCGUAAAACUCUGUUGUUAGAGAAGAACAAGGACGUUAG
Molecule: ribosomal RNA, 455 nt
Filed under: Enterococcus faecalis
Lineage: Bacteria; Bacillati; Bacillota; Bacilli; Lactobacillales; Enterococcaceae
Description: bacterial SSU rRNA
Rfam family: Bacterial small subunit ribosomal RNA
Source: RNAcentral